ACUAUUUUGGCAGACAAGUGCCUUGAAUUUAGAAUUCAUUUAUGUAGUUUAUUUUCUACAAAUAGUA
RNAcentral lists this transfer RNA (67 nucleotides) under Diestrammena asynamora. RNAcentral's name for it is "tRNA-Leu". Lineage: Eukaryota; Metazoa; Arthropoda; Insecta; Orthoptera; Rhaphidophoridae. The record is from RNAcentral.